Anguilla rostrata (American eel) is the source of this 1874-nucleotide long non-coding RNA. RefSeq lists it as uncharacterized. The record is from RefSeq and is a predicted model, not a curated record. Lineage: Eukaryota; Metazoa; Chordata; Actinopteri; Anguilliformes; Anguillidae. The transcript is spliced from 2 exons.
AAAGGAAAGUGUUGGAAGGAUCAUUAGUUUUUCUCUUCUGAACUGAUUAUUGGCUGUGUCUUUUCUAGCCAAAUGACUAAAUUGUCACUGAUUUUGCACUAACUUGUCGGAUUGAAAGCAAUUUCUGACCCUCACUCACCCCUCUUAAUUUAACUUUUCAAAAAAAAAAAAAAAAAAAGAAAACAAGUUUGAACUAUAAUAAAAAGGAUGGGCUCUUCCUGUGAUGGACUGAUAACAUCACGUUGGCUUGGGAUUUUGAAAUGAGCCGUGCAACACUUAGUUAGUGCUUUAUGUUUGUGACUGCAAAUUGAUCAAACUUUUUAUUUCCACACCUUAACCUGAAAAUGGGAUGCUUUGUCAGUGGGUACAGCAAUAGCCAAUUCCGGAAGCGGAAUCGGACGUGUUUUCGCCAUUGACUGGGCACCUGCCGAUUUUUGGCCGCACUGGCUGCAACUGCUAGUCGGGCUUUGGCAAGUGGAUUCGCUCGUCGGCUGCUGUGCUACCAGCGUUUCUAACCCGUGACAGCAUGACCUCAGCCCAAGAGGAGAGGGUCCACAGCCAGCAGGCCGGCCUGGAAAUGUCUUGUCUUUGAGUGCCUCUUGAAAAAACGUAUCUGGUCCAUAAUGGAGGCUGUGCAGGUCUGCAAGCACAGAGUGGACAUGCCCCCACAUAAUGGAGCCACUUUAAAGUGCAGCGACAUCCUGCCAGCACACUGCACUUCCAGCCGUUCUUUAUUCCUCCUGGGCUAUAGGAGGCAGUUGUUCAGUGGGCGUGAAAAGAGGCAGUGGCAGUUGGGUUUUCUUUUUUUAAAAUCUGAGAAAGAAAAAAUGUUGCGCUCUGCAGGGUUUUAACAAUGGCUAUAAAGUGCGGUACAUUGGAUUGCUCAGAAAGCCAAUAUAUACUGUAAAUUUAAAUCUCUUCCCCGGUUGGAAAUUGCUCCUAAAGUAAAGAUUAGAUUCAUACCGACUUGCGUUCAUUCACACAAUACAGCAAGAUAUCUCAACUGUGCUGUGAAGAAAAAAACAAUUGAACAAGCAUUAUAUAAAGCAUGGUUUCCCUCUUUUUUGUGGAAUAUCUGAAAUAUCCUAUGUCAAUCAGUUAACUUAAGAAAAGAGACAAGGAUGGGCAUGUAACCAUUCUUGAUGAAGUGUAGCCCUGGCUGAUAUUAUGUCAAGUCAAUUAAAAUCACUGUAAAUAGUUAAAAUAAUGUCCGUCACACUCGCUCAUGGACAGCAAUAUCUAGCUUGUUGACGGACAGAUUGCACUUGAUUGGUAAAGUUAAGUAACUCUACCUAUGAGAUCAUUUAUUUCUGGCUUAUGGGGAGGUACUAAGGGUAAAGCUCUGGCGGUUUUCGGUAGAAAUCAUUAUUAAGUGCUGGACACCGACGGGAGAAAGGUAGCCUAUGCAUGCUGUUUAAUUAACAUCUUUAUAGGUCUAUGAUAAGUUUGACCAAUGCAAGACUAAGUUAACAAACUAUAUCAAAGUAUAAUGAUGCAUUUUCCUUAAAGUUGUGUUUAACAGAACUGCAUGAACUUAGCUAAACCUUGGCUAACAGUAGAGUACCACAGAUGGUAGUUGGCAGCAUUGCUACAGCCACAUACAGACGGGCGAAUUUAAGGAAAAACCAAAAUAAAGUGUCUUAGGGAGCUGCCAGAACAGAUUUUUUUUUUUUUGCUUUUUGGGUUAGAGGGUUUCUUGGUGUCUAAAUGUUUUGCCACAACUAGGAACUACUUGGGCCUAUUUUGGAUGUCAGUGCCAUAGUAAUGGCAAAUGAGUGAACCUUAUAGCUAAUGGCACCAAUCUGUAUUAUGCAAUGUUGUCACAAGUAACUAACAUCUAUUUCUGUUGUUAACCAAAAAGCUCCUUAUCACUA